Molecule: non-coding RNA, 24 nt
Filed under: Arabidopsis thaliana (thale cress)
Lineage: Eukaryota; Viridiplantae; Streptophyta; Magnoliopsida; Brassicales; Brassicaceae
Source: RNAcentral
AGAAGGUUAUGUUCAGGAGAUGGU